AAGUAUUUCCACCCACCCACAUCUCUUAUGUGUCCAUUAGUCCAGUGGAUGUGGUUGUGAUAGGAGUGAUUCCUGUGUCUGUAAAUCUGUGCGAUUGCACAAGCUGAGUUGGAUUGAGUCUUGCACUGAAGGUCAAACUCCAUUAACAAACUCCAAACAUGGUGCUAUGGAAAUGAGUGUGGUAUAAUAUCUACAAGUUGGCACAAUUGUAAGAAAAAGUAGGUUUACG
Molecule: non-coding RNA, 229 nt
Organism: Pelobates cultripes (western spadefoot toad)
Lineage: Eukaryota; Metazoa; Chordata; Amphibia; Anura; Pelobatidae
Source: the annotation of a GenBank genome assembly